RNAcentral lists this ribosomal RNA (956 nucleotides) under Bacillus sp. (in: firmicutes). RNAcentral's name for it is "bacterial SSU rRNA". It matches the Rfam family "Bacterial small subunit ribosomal RNA", at positions 49 to 1003 of the family's 1533-position model. Lineage: Bacteria; Bacillati; Bacillota; Bacilli; Caryophanales; Bacillaceae. The record is from RNAcentral.
CUAUACAUGCAGUCGAGCGGAUUGAUGGGAGCUUGCUCCCUGAAAUCAGCGGCGGACGGGUGAGUAACACGUGGGUAACCUGCCUGUAAGACUGGGAUAACUCCGGGAAACCGGGGCUAAUACCGGAUAUUUCUUUUCCUCGCAUGAGGAAAAGUGGAAAGGUGGCUUUUUGCUACCACUUACAGAUGGACCCGCGGCGCAUUACCUAGUUGGUGAGGUAACGGCUCACCAAGGCAACGAUGCGUACCCAACCUGAAAGGGUGAUCGGCCACACUGGGACUGAAACACGGCCCAAACUCCUACGGGAGGCAGCAGUAGGGAAUCUUCCGCAAUGGACAAAAGUCUGACGGACCAACGCCGCGUGAGUGAUGAAGGUUUUCGGAUCGUAAAGCUCUGUUGUUAGGGAAAAACAAGUGCCGUUCGAAUAGGUCGGCACCUUGACGGUACCUAACCAAAAAGCCACGGCUAACUACGUGCCACCACCCGCGGUAAUACGUAGGUGGCAAGCGUUGUCCGGAAUUAUUGGGCGUAAAGCGCGCGCAGGCGGUCUCUUAAGUCUGAUGUGAAAGCCCACGGCUCAACCGUGGAGGGUCAUUGGAAACUGGGGGACUUGAGUACAGAAGAGGAAAGUGGAAUUCCACGUGUAGCGGUGAAAUGCGUAGAUAUGUGGAGGAACACCAGUGGCGAAGGCGACUUUCUGGUCUGUAACUGACGCUGAGGCGCGAAAGCGUGGGGAGCAAACAGGAUUAGAUACCCUGGUAGUCCACGCCGUAAACGAUGAGUGCUAAGUGUUAGAGGGUUUCCGCCCUUUAGUGCUGCAGCUACGCAUUAGCACUCCGCCUGGGGAGUACGGUCGCAAGACUGAACUCAAGGAUGACGGGGCCCGCACAAGCGUGAGCAUGUGUUUAUCGAGCAACGCGAGACCUUACAGUUAUGACAUCUCUGACAUCUUAGAG